GGAAGUGAGCGUACUUGUGUGGCGGCCACCCCUCUCGUCUCACUGUGGUGUGAACACGCUCUCAUGAGGCUAACUUUUCAGAGUUGGGGAGUUCAGUCGAGGUGAUGUGGGAUCAGGGAGGAAGGAGAAGCAUUUGGUGCUUGUACAGAAGUCCGUGUUGACCAUCAGAUGAUUCUUCAACCUGAUAGGCUGAUAAAAUCCUUUCAAUAUCCAUUUGAUGACGUCACAAAAUCAGUUUUCAUCCAGUUAAAACGUCGUUCUGAGCACCUGGAGAGAUCUCUGAGGUAGUCACAGAGCCCAAUCUGCCGCUGAAUUGAGAAACUGACGAUGUUUAAAGGGACAGCCGGCAUGGCGGGACUACACGCGCACACACACUAGACGCCGACGCUGUUGUGUUACACGUCACGCCGCCAUAAGUGAGACCCGAAAUGCCUAUUAGGCUUCAGAGGCUGUGCUGCUGCUUAUCAAAGAGUUCAAAGUCUGAAAUUGUUUAUCAUGGCGGGACAUCACUUCUGAUAGCGGCACUGUGUGGUUAGGGUGAGAUCGGACGUCUGAUAGGACAGCGGAUAAUGUAAAUAAACCCACGGCGGCUACAGCACUCGGCUUGUUUGUUGUUUUUGCAAAAAUGAUGAAAUGAGCAUGA
This is a long non-coding RNA of Sebastes umbrosus (honeycomb rockfish), 643 nucleotides long. RefSeq lists it as uncharacterized. The record is from RefSeq and is a predicted model, not a curated record. Lineage: Eukaryota; Metazoa; Chordata; Actinopteri; Perciformes; Sebastidae. The transcript has 4 exons.